UGAACAGAUGGAAAUAUAUAGAAAUAUUUGACAAAGCCAGAGGGCCUAAGCAGAAAUGACAUGUAUGGCAGCCGGCUGCACUC
Molecule: non-coding RNA, 83 nt
Filed under: [Clostridium] hylemonae
Lineage: Bacteria; Bacillati; Bacillota; Clostridia; Lachnospirales; Lachnospiraceae
Description: Clostridium hylemonae c-di-GMP sequence
Rfam family: c-di-GMP-I riboswitch aptamer
About the family: GEMM was predicted in a large-scale screen for bacterial structured RNA regulatory elements. Genes associated with GEMM are involved in a diverse array of functions, including chemotaxis regulation, signal transduction, secretion and chitin.
Source: RNAcentral